AGCAGCCGCGGUAAUUCCAGCUCCAAUAGCGUAUAUUAAAGUUGUUGCAGUUAAAAAGCUCGUAGUUGAAUUUCGGGAUCAAUGCGUCGGUCGUGCUUUCGGGUACGUACUGGUGUCAUUGGUUUCUCCUUUCUGACGAGCCGUGAUGUCAUUAAUUUGGUGUUACGGGUAGUUAGGACUGUUACUUUGAAAAAAUUAGAGUGUUUAAAGCAGGCAUUAGCUUGAAUACAUUAGCAUGGAAUAAUGAAAUAGGACGUUCGAUCCUAUUUUGUUGGUUUCUAGGAUCAACGUAAUGAUUAAUAGGGAUAGUUGGGGGCAUUAGUAUUCAAUUGUCGGAGGUGAAAUUCUUGGAUUUAUUGAAGACUAACUACUGCGAAAGCAUUUGCCAAGGAUGUUUUCAUUAAUCAAGAACGAAAGUUAGGGGAUCGAAGACGAUCAGAUACCGUCGUAGUCUUAACCAUAAACUAUGCCGACUAGGGAUCGGAUGAUGUUAAUUUUUUUAAUGACUCAUUCGGCGCCU
Molecule: ribosomal RNA, 520 nt
Filed under: uncultured Glomus
Lineage: Eukaryota; Fungi; Glomeromycota; Glomeromycetes; Glomerales; Glomeraceae
Description: SSU rRNA
Rfam family: Eukaryotic small subunit ribosomal RNA
Source: RNAcentral